AUACUUACCUGGCAGGGAUGAUUUCAUGAUUAGGAAGUUGGUUUCCCCAGGGUGAGGUUCACCCAUUGUACUGUGGGUGUGCUGACCCCCUGCGAUUUCCCCAAAUGUGGAAAACUUGACUGCAUAAUUUAUUUAUUUUUUUAUUAAUAUCUUCGUUUAAAU
This is a small nuclear RNA of Suncus etruscus (white-toothed pygmy shrew), 162 nucleotides long. RefSeq annotates it as U1 spliceosomal RNA. The record is from RefSeq and is a predicted model, not a curated record. NCBI's taxonomy places the organism in Eukaryota, Metazoa, Chordata, Mammalia, Eulipotyphla, Soricidae. The transcript has a single exon.